RNAcentral lists this ribosomal RNA (487 nucleotides) under uncultured bacterium. RNAcentral's name for it is "bacterial SSU rRNA". It matches the Rfam family "Bacterial small subunit ribosomal RNA", at positions 245 to 749 of the family's 1533-position model. The record is from RNAcentral.
CUUGUUGGCGGGGUAACGGCCCACCAAGGCGACGAUCAGUAGCCGGCCUGAGAGGGUGGACGGCCACAUUGGGACUGAGACACGGCCCAAACUACUACGGGAGGCAGCAGUGGGGAAUAUUGGACAAUGGGGGGAACCCUGAUCCAGCGACGCCGCGUGAGUGAAGAAGUAUUUCGGUAUGUAAAGCUCUAUCAGCAGGGAAGAAAAUGACGGUACCUGACUAAGAAGCCCCGGCUAACUACGUGCCAGCAGCCGCGGUAAUACGUAGGGGGCAAGCGUUAUCCGGAUUUACUGGGUGUAAAGGGAGCGUAGACGGCAUGGCAAGCCAGAUGUGAAAUACCGGGGCUCAACCCCGGGACUGCAUUUGGAACUGUUAAGCUGGAGUGUCGGAGAGGCAGGCGGAAUUCCUAGUGUAGCGGUGAAAUGCGUAGAUAUUAGGAGGAACACCAGUGGCGAAGGCGGCCUGCUGGACGAUAACUGACGUUGA